AUGCUGCACGAGUUAUUCAACUUUAACUUCACCUUAUUUCCUUGGAUUGUAGGUGUUGUCAAAAGGCAAACUAUUUCUGAUAUAGGCAAUGACGAUGAAGUGCCAAUAUUAGGAAGAAAGCGACCUGUCCGAGAGAGGUUAGGAAAUAAUGUGUCUAAUUCUGAUUCGUAUGGAAGUCAACAGAGUAAUAAAAGGUAUAUAUGUUUCAUCUAUAUUACUCAUGGAAAAUUCUGUGGUGAAGUAUGUACCAUUUUCUUAAAUAUUGCAUUAAUGCAUGGGUAUAAACUGAACAUUGUAUAUUGUAACCUAUGGAGGAAAAAAACACCAAAUGCAAAUAGAUGA
RNAcentral lists this ribosomal RNA (342 nucleotides) under Triticum aestivum (bread wheat). RNAcentral's name for it is "partial small subunit ribosomal RNA". The record is from RNAcentral. Lineage: Eukaryota; Viridiplantae; Streptophyta; Magnoliopsida; Poales; Poaceae.